RNAcentral lists this ribosomal RNA (860 nucleotides) under uncultured archaeon. RNAcentral describes it as "bacterial SSU rRNA". It matches the Rfam family "Archaeal small subunit ribosomal RNA", at positions 54 to 903 of the family's 1478-position model. The record is from RNAcentral.
CGAGGCAAGGGUGCUUUGCACCCGCCGCACUGCUCAGUAACGCGUAGUCAAUCUGCCCUGGGGACGGGGAUAACCCCGGGAAACUGGGGAUAAUAUCCGAUAGGAGAGGGGUACUGGAAGGUCCCCUCUCCCAAAGGGUUCCAUGGCUUGCCAUGGUUCCGCCCCAGGAUGAGACUGCGGCGGAUUAGGUUGUUGUUGGGGUAAUUGCCCAACAAGCCGAUAAUCCGUACGGGUUGUGAGAGCAAUAGCCCGGAGAUGGACUCUGAGACAUGAGUCCAGGCCCUACGGGGUGCAGCAGGCGCGAAACCUUCGCAAUGCGCGAAAGCGUGACGAGGGGACUCCGAGUGGCCUCGCACUGCGAGGCCUUUUGCCGAGUGAGAAAAGGCUCGGCGAAUAAGGGGUGGGCAAGACGGUUGCCAGCCGCCGCGGUAAUAACCGCGCCCCAAGUGGUGGUCACUUUUAUUGGGCCUAAAGCGUCCGUAGCCGGCCCGGUAAGUCCACAGUCAAAGCCCGCUGCAAACAGCGGAAUUGCUGUGGAUACUGCCGGGCUAGGGACCGGGAGAGGCCGGGGGUACGGCCAGGGUAGGGGUUAAAUCCGUUAAUCCUGGCAGGACCACCUGUGGCGAAGGCGCCCGGCUGGAACGGCUCCGACGGUGAGGGACGAAAGCUAGGGGAGCGAUCGGGAUUAGAUACCCCGGUAGUCCUAGCCGUAAACGAUGCCCACUUGGUGUCAGCUGUUCCACGUGAACAGCUGGUGCCAAAGCGAAGGCGAUAAGUGGGCCGCCUGGGGAGUACGGCCGCAAGGCUGAAACUUAAGGGAAUUGGCGGGGGAGCACUACAAGGGGUGGAGGCUGCUGUUC